RNAcentral lists this long non-coding RNA (1027 nucleotides) under Brachypodium distachyon (stiff brome). Its description in RNAcentral is "long non-coding RNA (BDIS_LNC001294)". The record is from RNAcentral. Lineage: Eukaryota; Viridiplantae; Streptophyta; Magnoliopsida; Poales; Poaceae.
CCCAAUUUAUUUAUUUUAUUCCGAAUUUAUGUUACCCCGUUGGACGCACUGCCCGACCGGAUGAAGGCCGGACAAAACCUUUUUCUGUCCAUCCCACGACCCAAACGGACCAAAACGACCGCAAAGUGCGGUCUGUUUGGGACGCCCCGCUAGAGUUGCCCUUAGGUCCUAAAAUAUAUUUUAAGUGGUUCUCGCGAGAUCCUGUGUUGGUUCUGACGCGUUUGAUCCGCCUACGUGGCUCAUUGACCCGAUACAUGUCAGCAAGGAGGUCCACAUGCCAUAACCAAUUGUAAUGUAAGUUAGCAGAAACCCUCUCGCCAAAGGGUCAUCUCUCUCAUUCUCCCCUCGUUUACCUUCCGCGAUAAUAGUAGAACCCCGGAUGCAUUUAUCUCUUUGUUUAGGCAUGAACGAAGAUCAGGCGGGCAUGUUAUGAGCACCGAAGUCAUCAUCAAAAGUGUGCAUGUUAUGGAUUUUUUUUUCAAGAAAAGGUGGUAAGAGUUUUUUUUCCCGCUAGGGUUUUGUUGUUUCUUGGGCAAGAAAUGAUAAUUUCUCGGUCAACCACGACAGGAAGCCAUUCGAUCAUGGUGUGUCGACAGGUUGGGUAGCUCUGGUUCCGACUUUUCUUCAUCACAGUUUAAGCACUAACGAGGCUAGUGGGCCUUUUCGUUUUUCUCAGCCUUUAACAUUUUUCCUUAUUUCCUCUGGAAUGGGAUUUUAUUGGGCCACAGGUAGAACAUUACUCACCCUACAUUUUAUAUCAACACCCUAGAUGCUUGUUGUUGUUCUAGAAAACAACAGGAGUACGGGGUGCCAAUGCUCGAUGGCUCAAGUGCGAGAAUAGUAUGUAGGGUGUGUACGCCGGCCUUAUAGCGAAGGUCGCCGUACACUUGGAUAAGUUUGACACGUUGAUAUUUUUUGAAUAGGUUCGGUCGACCCUGCGGGUACGACUUAGUCCUAUGUUAGGAGAGGCUUCGAGGGGGUCGUUAGCCGGGUGUUUGGGCCGAACUCAUUUUCCCAAAUCACCUAU